GACGAACGCUGGCGGCGUGCUUAACACAUGCAAGUCGAACGGAAAGGCCCUGCUUUUGUGGGGUGCUCGAGUGGCGAACGGGUGAGUAACACGUGAGUAACCUGCCCUUGACUUUGGGAUAACUUCAGGAAACUGGGGCUAAUACCGGAUAGGAGCUCCUGCUGCAUGGUGGUGGUUGGAAAGUUUCGGCGGUUGGGGAUGGACUCGCGGCUUAUCAGCUUGUUGGUGGGGUAGUGGCUUACCAAGGCUUUGACGGGUAGCCGGCCUGGGAGGGUGACCGGCCACAUUGGGACUGAGAUAGGCCGCAGACUCCUACGGGAGGCAGCAGUGGGGAAUAUUGCACAAUGGGCGGAAGCCUGAUGCAGCAACGCCGCGUGCGGGAUGACGGCCUUCGGGUUGUAAACCGCUUUCGCCUGUGACGAAGCGGGAGUGACGGUAAUGGGUAAAGAAGCACCGGCUAACUACGUG
Molecule: ribosomal RNA, 468 nt
Filed under: uncultured bacterium
Lineage: Bacteria
Description: partial 16S ribosomal RNA
Rfam family: Bacterial small subunit ribosomal RNA
Source: RNAcentral